This 427-nucleotide ribosomal RNA is filed under the name uncultured bacterium. Its description in RNAcentral is "partial 16S ribosomal RNA". It matches the Rfam family "Bacterial small subunit ribosomal RNA", at positions 355 to 774 of the family's 1533-position model. The record is from RNAcentral.
UGGGGAAUAUUGCACAAUGGGCGCAAGCCUGAUGCAGCCAUGCCGCGUGUGUGAAGAAGGCCUUCGGGUUGUAAAGCACUUUCAGCGAGGAGGAAGGGUAGUGUGUUAAUAGCACAUUGCAUUGACGUUACUCGCAGAAGAAGCACCGGCUAACUCCGUGCCAGCAGCCGCGGUAAUACGGAGGGUGCAAGCGUUAAUCGGAAUUACUGGGCGUAAAGCGCACGCAGGCGGUUUGUUAAGUCAGAUGUGAAAUCCCCGCGCUUAACGUGGGAACUGCAUUUGAAACUGGCAAGCUAGAGUCUUGUAGAGGGGGGUGGAAUUCCAGGUGUAGCGGUGAAAUGCGUAGAGAUCUGGAGGAAUACCGGUGGCGAAGGCGGCCCCCUGGACAAAGACUGACGCUCAGGUGCGAAAGCGUGGGGAGCAAACA